GGGGAUUAGCUCAGUUGGUAGAGCGCGUGCUUAGCAUGCACGAGGUCGGGGAUUCGAUUUCCCCAUUCUCC
RNAcentral lists this transfer RNA (71 nucleotides) under Chaetoceros debilis. It matches the Rfam family "tRNA". From Rfam's summary of the family: Transfer RNA (tRNA) molecules are approximately 80 nucleotides in length. Lineage: Eukaryota; Bacillariophyta; Thalassiosirophyceae; Chaetocerotales; Chaetocerotaceae. The record is from RNAcentral.